AAGACCUUGCGCUUUUGGAGCGGCCGAUGCCUGAUUAGCUUGUUGGUAAGGUAAAAGCUUACCAAGGCUUCGAUCAGUAGCUGGUCUGAGAGGACGACCAGCCACACUGGGACUGAGACACGGCCCAGACUCCUACGGGAGGCAGCAGUGGGGAAUUUUGGACAAUGGGGGCAACCCUGAUCCAGCCAUGCCGCGUGAGUGAAGAAGGCCUUCGGGUUGUAAAGCUCUUUCAGCCGGAACGAAACGGUUACGGUUAACACCCGUGACUACUGACGGUACCGGAAGAAGAAGCACCGGCUAACUACGUGCCAGCAGCCGCGGUAAUACGUAGGGUGCGAGCGUUAAUCGGAAUUACUGGGCGUAAAGSGUGCGCAGGUGGUUUUGUAAGUCAGAUGUGAAAGCCCCGGGCUCAACCUGGGAACU
RNAcentral lists this ribosomal RNA (423 nucleotides) under uncultured bacterium. RNAcentral describes it as "bacterial SSU rRNA". It matches the Rfam family "Bacterial small subunit ribosomal RNA", at positions 207 to 622 of the family's 1533-position model. The record is from RNAcentral.